ACAAUGUUUUGCUGCUGUUAUCCAGAAUUAACCUUUGAUUUUGAGGAGUGACUUUAAAGUUUGGCAGAAAAGAAGCAGAGUCAAGGACCAGGAAUUGCUUCAGUAAAGUUGCAAGAUACCAAAUCAACCUACAAAAAUGAAUAGCAUUUCUAUAUCAUAGAAAUGAAACAGCUGAAACAAGAGAGCAAUCCCAUUUACAAUAGCUACAAAAAAAAGGGAUCAAUUUCACCAAGGAGAUAAAAAAUCUCUAUAAGGUAAAAACCAUAAAACACUGAUGAAAGAAGUUGAAAAGGACACAAAUGGAAUGUCAUCCCAUGCUCAUGAAGUGGAAGAAUUAAUAUGAUUAAAAUAAACAUACUUCCCAAAGCAA
Molecule: long non-coding RNA, 370 nt
Filed under: Homo sapiens (human)
Lineage: Eukaryota; Metazoa; Chordata; Mammalia; Primates; Hominidae
Description: non-protein coding lnc-MAP9-1:1
Source: RNAcentral